RNAcentral lists this ribosomal RNA (489 nucleotides) under uncultured bacterium. Its description in RNAcentral is "partial 16S ribosomal RNA". It matches the Rfam family "Bacterial small subunit ribosomal RNA", at positions 30 to 507 of the family's 1533-position model. The record is from RNAcentral.
AUUGAACGCUGGCGGCAGGCCUAACACAUGCAAGUCGAACGGUAACAGGAAGCAGCUUGCUGCUUUGCUGACGAGUGGCGGACGGGUGAGUAAUGUCUGGGAAACUGCCUGAUGGAGGGGGAUAACUACUGAAACGGUAGCUAAUACCGCAUAACGUCGCAAGACCAAAGAGGGGGACCUUAGGGCCUCUUGCCAUCGGAUGUGCCCAGAUGGGAUUAGCUAGUAGGUGGGGUAACGGCUCACCUAGGCGACGAUCCCUAGCUGGUCUGAGAGGAUGACCAGCCACACUGGAACUGAGACACGGUCCAGACUCCUACGGGAGGCAGCAGUGGGGAAUAUUGCACAAUGGGCGCAAGCCUGAUGCAGCCAUGCCGCGUGUAUGAAGAAGGCCUUCGGGUUGUAAAGUACUUUCAGCGGGGAGGAAGGGAGUAAAGUUAAUACCUUGGCUCAUUGACGUUACCCGCAGAAGAAGCACCGGCUAACUCCGUG